UAGUGCGCUGGGGAGAGAUAGCCAGGCAGGCUGCAUAAUCUACAAUGUAGAGGGCUGAGGGAGGUUUGGGCACUCUCUGCUACCACUACUAGGAUGAUAUUCAGACAAGAGGGGACCUCAUACUGUGACCUGACCCAGGACCCUCCCUGGAAGAGAGCUCAGCCGAGCUGUGUUUGAAUGAGUGUGUAUAUGUGUUUGCAUGUGUGUGCUCAUGUGCACUGUGGUGUAAAAUGACUUAUCUGGUUGUGUAACUCAGGGCAGGCUGGGGACUCACCAGAAGAUUCCCUCAGGCCUGCCCAAGACAGGUUUUUUUCCUUGUACCCUCUUCAGAGGGAUCAGAGAGAGGGUCCAGGUGGGUUGAAGGGGUUGCAACAGAUAACCACUAAGGCCACACUGCUGCCAGAGGAGUUGGGGGAAAGGGAGGGAGAUGUGGUUGCCCCAAGGCUCUGGUACCUGGCUUUAGUUUUCUGUCUUCUUUCCUCAGGAUUCCCCUGAGGCCCAGGACCUGUGCCUGGCUUAGAGGACCAUCUGUGGCUGGCUGAUCCAGCUACUGGUGUGAUCAUGGGCUUCCCUCCUCUCUCUCUCAGCAGGGCAGACACUUCUGCCCCAGGGACUGGGCAACUGGCUGUUUCUAUGACGUAUUUAUUUUUACUUGUGUUUCAUGUCACUUUUUUAAAAAAAAAAGCAAACAGAACAAUUGUAAGUCAGUAUAACUGCCUAUCAGUUUUCUUUAUUUCUCUUUUUGUAAAAUAAAAUUUAAACUC
Molecule: long non-coding RNA, 764 nt
Filed under: Rattus norvegicus (Norway rat)
Lineage: Eukaryota; Metazoa; Chordata; Mammalia; Rodentia; Muridae
Description: long non-coding RNA NONRATT028951
Source: RNAcentral